UUAAGCGACUAAGCGUACACGGUGGAUGCCCUGGCAGUCAGAGGCGAUGAAGGACGUGCUAAUCUGCGAAAAGCGUCGGUAAGGUGAUAUGAACCGUUAUAACCGGCGAUGUCCGAAUGGGGAAACCCAGUGUGAUUCGUCACACUAUCGUUAACUGAAUACAUAGGUUAACGAGGCGAACCGGGGGAACUGAAACAUCUAAGUACCCCGAGGAAAAGAAAUCAACCGAGAUUCCCCCAGUAGCGGCGAGCGAACGGGGAGCAGCCCAGAGUCUGAAUCAGCUUGUGUGUUAGUGGAACGGUCUGGAAAGUCCGACGGUACAGGGUGAUAGUCCCGUACACCAAAAUGCACAGGUUGUGAACUCGAAGAGUAGGGCGGGACACGUGGUAUCCUGUCUGAAUAUGGGGGGACCAUCCUCCAAGGCUAAAUACUCCUGACUGACCGAUAGUGAACCAGUACCGUGAGGGAAAGGCGAAAAGAACCCCGGCGAGGGGAGUGAAAAAGAACCUGAAACCGUGUACGUACAAGCAGUGGGAGCACCUUCGGGUGUGACUGCGUACCUUUUGUAUAAUGGGUCAGCGACUUAUAUUCUGUAGCAAGGUUAACCGUAUAGGGGAGCCGCAGGGAAACCGAGUCUUAACUGGGCGUUAAGUUGCAGGGUAUAGACCCGAAACCCGGUGAUCUAGCCAUGGGCAGGUUGAAGGUUGGGUAACACUAACUGGAGGACCGAACCGACUAAUGUUGAAAAAUUAGCGGAUGACUUGUGGCUGGGGGUGAAAGGCCAAUCAAACCGGGAGAUAGCUGGUUCUCCCCGAAAGCUAUUUAGGUAGCGCCUCGUGAACUCAUCUUCGGGGGUAGAGCACUGUUUCGGCUAGGGGGUCAUCCCGACUUACCAACCCGAUGCAAACUACGAAUACCGAAGAAUGUUAUCACGGGAGACACACGGCGGGUGCUAACGUCCGUCGUGAAGAGGGAAACAACCCAGACCGCCAGCUAAGGUCCCAAAGUCAUGGUUAAGUGGGAAACGAUGUGGGAAGGCACAGACAGCCAGGAUGUUGGCUUAGAAGCAGCCAUCAUUUAAAGAAAGCGUAAUAGCUCACUGGUCGAGUCGGCCUGCGCGGAAGAUGUAACGGGGCUAAACCAUGCACCGAAGCUGCGGCAGCGACACUAUGUGUUGUUGGGUAGGGGAGCGUUCUGUAAGCCUGCGAAGGUGUGCUGUGAGGCAUGCUGGAGGUAUCAGAAGUGCGAAUGCUGACAUAAGUAACGAUAAAGCGGGUGAAAAGCCCGCUCGCCGGAAGACCAAGGGUUCCUGUCCAACGUUAAUCGGGGCAGGGUGAGUCGACCCCUAAGGCGAGGCCGAAAGGCGUAGUCGAUGGGAAACAGGUUAAUAUUCCUGUACUUGGUGUUACUGCGAAGGGGGGACGGAGAAGGCUAUGUUAGCCGGGCGACGGUUGUCCCGGUUUAAGCAUGUAGGCUGAUUGUCCAGGCAAAUCCGGAUAAUCAAGGCUGAGGUGUGAUGACGAGGCACUACGGUGCUGAAGUAACAAAUGCCCUGCUUCCAGGAAAAGCCUCUAAGCAUCAGGUAACAUUAAAUCGUACCCCAAACCGACACAGGUGGUCAGGUAGAGAAUACCAAGGCGCUUGAGAGAACUCGGGUGAAGGAACUAGGCAAAAUGGUGCCGUAACUUCGGGAGAAGGCACGCUGGUGUGUAGGUGAAGUCCCUGCGGAUGGAGCUGAGACCAGUCGAAGAUACCAGCUGGCUGCAACUGUUUAUUAAAAACACAGCACUGUGCAAACACGAAAGUGGACGUAUACGGUGUGACGCCUGCCCGGUGCCGGAAGGUUAAUUGAUGGGGUUAUCCGUAAGGAGAAGCUCUUGAUCGAAGCCCCGGUAAACGGCGGCCGUAACUAUAACGGUCCUAAGGUAGCGAAAUUCCUUGUCGGGUAAGUUCCGACCUGCACGAAUGGCGUAAUGAUGGCCAGGCUGUCUCCACCCGAGACUCAGUGAAAUUGAACUCGCUGUGAAGAUGCAGUGUACCCGCGGCAAGACGGAAAGACCCCGUGAACCUUUACUAUAGCUUGACACUGAACAUUGAGCCUUGAUGUGUAGGAUAGGUGGGAGGCUUUGAAGCGUGGACGCCAGUCUGCGUGGAGCCAACCUUGAAAUACCACCCUUUAAUGUUUGAUGUUCUAACGUUGGCCCCUUACCGGGGUUGCGGACAGUGUCUGGUGGGUAGUUUGACUGGGGCGGUCUCCUCCCAAAGCGUAACGGAGGAGCACGAAGGUUAGCUAAUCCUGGUCGGACAUCAGGAGGUUAGUGCAAUGGCAUAAGCUAGCUUGACUGCGAGCGUGACGGCGCGAGCAGGUGCGAAAGCAGGUCAUAGUGAUCCGGUGGUUCUGAAUGGAAGGGCCAUCGCUCAACGGAUAAAAGGUACUCCGGGGAUAACAGGCUGAUACCGCCCAAGAGUUCAUAUCGACGGCGGUGUUUGGCACCUCGAUGUCGGCUCAUCACAUCCUGGGGCUGAAGUAGGUCCCAAGGGUAUGGCUGUUCGCCAUUUAAAGUGGUACGCGAGCUGGGUUUAGAACGUCGUGAGACAGUUCGGUCCCUAUCUGCCGUGGGCGCUGGAGAAUUGAGGGGGGCUGCUCCUAGUACGAGAGGACCGGAGUGGACGCAUCACUGGUGUUCGGGUUGUCAUGCCAAUGGCACUGCCCGGUAGCUAAAUGCGGAAGAGAUAAGUGCUGAAAGCAUCUAAGCACGAAACUUGCCCCGAGAUGAGUUCUCCCUGAGACUNCAUAAUGUCGCAAGACCAAAGUGGGGGACCUUCGGGCCUCAUGCCAUCAGAUGUGCCCAGAUGGGAUUAGCUAGUAGGUGGGGUAACGGCUCACCUA
Molecule: ribosomal RNA, 2890 nt
Filed under: Klebsiella pneumoniae
Lineage: Bacteria; Pseudomonadati; Pseudomonadota; Gammaproteobacteria; Enterobacterales; Enterobacteriaceae
Description: bacterial LSU rRNA
Rfam family: Bacterial large subunit ribosomal RNA
Source: RNAcentral